GACGAACGCUGGCGGCGUGCCUAACACAUGCAAGUCGAGCGAAUGAAGUUCCUUCGGGAACGGAUUUAGCGGCGGACGGGUGAGUAACACGUGGGCAACCUGCCUCAUAGAGGGGAAUAGCCUUCCGAAAGGGAGAUUAAUACCGCAUAAGAUUGUAGUACCGCAUGGUACAGCAAUUAAAGGAGCAAUCCGCUAUGAGAUGGGCCCGCGGCGCAUUAGCUAGUUGGUGAGGUAACGGCUCACCAAGGCGACGAUGCGUAGCCGACCUGAGAGGGUGAUCGGCCACAUUGGGACUGAGACACGGCCCAGACUCCUACGGGUGGCAG
Molecule: ribosomal RNA, 326 nt
Filed under: uncultured Bacillota bacterium
Lineage: Bacteria; Bacillati; Bacillota
Description: bacterial SSU rRNA
Rfam family: Bacterial small subunit ribosomal RNA
Source: RNAcentral